RNAcentral lists this ribosomal RNA (169 nucleotides) under uncultured bacterium. RNAcentral describes it as "partial 16S ribosomal RNA". It matches the Rfam family "Bacterial small subunit ribosomal RNA", at positions 524 to 692 of the family's 1533-position model. The record is from RNAcentral.
GACGGAGGGUGCAAGCGUUGUUCGGAAUCACUGGGCGUAAAGCGCGUGUAGGCGGUUCGAUAAGUCGGACGUGAAAGCCCGGGGCUUAACCCCGGAAGGGCAUCCGAAACUGUUCAGCUAGAGUAAGGGAGAGGAAAGUGGAAUUCCUGGUGUAGAGGUGAAAUUCGUA